Molecule: ribosomal RNA, 365 nt
Filed under: Eyprepocnemis alacris alacris
Lineage: Eukaryota; Metazoa; Arthropoda; Insecta; Orthoptera; Acrididae
Description: partial 28S ribosomal RNA
Source: RNAcentral
AAAAGUACGUGAAACUGCUUAGAGGUUAAACCCGAUGAACCUAAAUAUCCAGUAUGAGAAAGUCAUUAUUAUGAGUAUAUUAUUUUAUAAUGUAUUAAUAGUGUGCAUUUUUUUCAUAAAAAGGACAUUGUAAUCUGUUAAUACAAUUUAUAUAUUCUUUUAUAUAUUAUUUUUAUCAUAAAGAGUCAUGUAUAAGUUUACAUAUAAAUUAAUUAAUUUAUUAAUUAAUUGAUGUAAGAUCGAUGAAUUUCUAGAUAAAUAGUUAACAGUAUUAAAAUAUAUAAUGCUUACAUAAUUUUUUAUGUUUUAUAUAUAAUAUGUACAUGUACGAUAUAUAUGUUUUUGCACAUAUAUUAUAACAAUGA